Paralichthys olivaceus (Japanese flounder) is the source of this 4753-nucleotide non-coding RNA. The record is from RefSeq and is a predicted model, not a curated record. NCBI's taxonomy places the organism in Eukaryota, Metazoa, Chordata, Actinopteri, Pleuronectiformes, Paralichthyidae.
UUGACAACUGACAGUUAUAACCACUGUGGAGCUUAUUAUUAAAAGCCAGAAUAACAAGGUGGAUGAGAUAAUCAGUCAACAUUUGAAUGCACUUUUCUUUUCUCUUGACCUAAUUUUGACAGAUGACACAGUUUAGAAAGAUGCAUUUCAAAGGGAAUCUAACUGAAACUGUUUUUGAAAACUGAAGGGACGUGCCUCCCCUCCAUCCCCAGUAAAAAUGUUGACCUAAAUAUACAUUUAAAUGCGCUUAUUCGAACCACUCUUCUCUGGCCACCACAUAAUCAUCUUACACUGCGUCCCAUAUUUUCAUCUGACAGCCUAAGAAUACCCUGCCAUCGAUUCCCGUCUGUGAGCAAUUCUGUUUCUCAGAUCCUCACAUGUUUGACGCUAUUCGACUGUCAGGUCAGUGCAACACACUCAGAGGACUCUGAAAGCAGGUCACUCAAAGCCACCACCGUGCAGACAGCUGCCGUGCUGCUAACAGCAAAAUGAGGGGACGUUUAAUUUGCCCCUCACUUAAUGGAGCAGUGAAACAGUGAACUGGGGCUGGACGGGCAGACGACCACAACUCUCCUUGCUCAGAGGGUUCAUGCAUACGCUUCCUUUGUCAUGAAGAAUGUGUGUGUGUGCUGUGUAAUUAUCAGUAAUCAGUAUUUGUAUAUAAUCAAUUUGAAGUAAAAAGGGUUAAUGUAUUGAGCACAGUUUUAAUCCAAUACUGUUUGACUUUAUAACACUUGUAAUGAGUUUUCUUGAUUUCUUCUCCCCUCUAUUCACUCCACUCGCUGUUGCAAUGCAUGAUGGGCAGGCUCGAUAUUGUGCAUGACACCUGCAACAAGUGUUGUACCCAUGAUGCACGGUGCUACUCCAGCCACUGUGUCUGCAGCCACCACAUCUGCCACAAGUGUUCCCUUUGCAACCGCAACAGCCAAUCAGAUUCCAAUGAUAUCUGCAGAGCAUCUGACUAGUCACAAGUAUGUGACCCAGAUGUAGGAGUCUCAAUCAGAACAAUGGAACGGGAGUGUGCUGGCGAGGAUUCUGAGAUGAGCAGUCACCCUUCAUGCCUGUAACAUCAAGCGAAGAGGAACCAAAACCUGGACUGGUUUGGAAUAAAUCUGCAUGUUAACUUAGGAGGCACAGUUUUGUCAGAAUCGUUUUCUUGUGUAUUUCAUGCACACUAUUACACGACAACAACAGAAAAGAACAUAAUUUGCAUUACAGACUGCCUUUCGCUCUGUAGAGGCCACUUACCUUUAUUCACCGGACACACUUUGAAUGUGAAAAUGAGGUAAACGCGUGGAGCAGUCGAGAGGAAAACAAUCGACUGCUGGAUUGGUACGUCCAUUGACCAAGAAUCAUGACUUAUGGUGUUUGUUUAGCUCAUCGAUUGUUGGUCUUUGACUUAAACGUGUUCAUUUGUUUACACAGAGGUGCACCUUGUAUUUCAGUUCAAAGAAAACGAAUGAUCUUACUGAAUCACAUAUGCAUGCACGCUGAUUUUCGUUACGAUUUUAUUCUGUUAAAAACCAAUGAUAAGGGAAAUUACAUGAGGGCACUCAGAUGUAAAAUAGCAACUGAAUGUGUGUGAGGUGUCUUUCAAACCUUUGUAGCCUACCUUUCUGUCUUUUAAGCACAUGUCUUUAACCUUACAGGUGUCCCUGUAAAGUGCCAUACAUCCCUCAAACACACGAAUGGUAUUCAAGCAGUGUUGCAAAGUAUCAAACUCAAAGAUUCCCUUUAAUCCUUCUCAUUUUUCUCUCACGGGCAACAUGUAGCGUCCAGCGCCGUGACCUGUCAGUACCUGGGAUUCCAAACAGAGCCCCUGCUGAUUAGAUUCCCCCAGAUUGUCUGCUUUACUCAAAUCUACUGAAUGAAUAGAUUUUUAGAUUUUUAAUUCUUCACUGUUUAGGUUAGUUGUGUUCGUUUAGUCUAUUGACUCUAAAAAUUAAAUGAGUUGCAUGGGAGGUCUCCGCCUGAGCGAGAGACCAAAGACUCUCCCAGUAGUGAUGAUGGCGUUACGAUAUAACGAAUAGCUUUGAACCAACAUGGCGAUCAGUCGGUAUUCAAACUGCUGUGAGACACACUACUCAAAAUCUACGGUGCAACUGGCGAUGGAUAUGUGAUUUGCAUGACCUGUUCAUUUGUAUGGUUAUGCAUAUUUUAAAGGCAGGUUGUAAAGGUAGAGCUAGUUUGGUGUGUGUGUGUGUGUGUGUGUGUGUGUGUAUGCGUGUGUGUGUGUGCGUGUGUGUGUGUAUAUAGUCUGACAUAUUUAUGAAUAUUUGUUAAAUACAUCUACCUGAGAGCUGUUUUCAGAUAGUCAGCCAAAGUUUUUUGUGUCACUGUUAUUAGAUAUUGUGGGUAGAGCAGAGGGGCUGACUUUUAAAAAACGCGUGGGUGUCGAGUCCACAGAAGGAUCGGGUGUUUAGAGUAGAUCUCUAGAAUAAUUUUCUUUCUGUUGUCGUUGUGUUCUGGGUGUUCUUCAGGCAUAUUUAAUCUGUGGAUAGUACAGGGAAAGUGGCAAGAAUAUAAACGAUUGUAUUACUCAUCCAAAGCCUUAGAAUGUACCAUCGGGUCAGCACAAUGCAACAUGCCAUUUUGACUCAUCCAGUUGCCUAAUCCACGCCAUAUUAACACACACACAGAGCACUAUGUAAUUGUCACUUUUUUUGUCAGUGUUUUCUUAACCUUGCUGUAGGUUUUCCUUUAGACGAGGAGUAUUUCACUUUAUUUUGUUUGGAUGACAUGACUUAGUUCUAAUUUUCAAUUUGGCUUAUAAUAUUUAUCUUUCUUAUAAUGAAUAUAAGGUUAAAAAAAAGUGUGUGUUUGUGUGUUCCUCAUGCACAGUUUCCUGAAAUUCCAUGUAAUGUUAAUUUUAGUAUGAUUAUGAUUGUAAACUCAAUAUUUUCUACGUUAUGCAUAUUGUUGAACUGUAUGCAUACUGUUCAUUUCCCUAGUCUUUUUUUGUCCUCUUUGAACAAAGAUGUUUUAUAUGAGUAUCUUACAGUGAUGAACUAAUAGAACAGAGAGGCAGAGUUGUCACUGUGGCAACCGUCGCCGAUAACCGAGUAAUAUUUUAAUGAUUGUAAGGUUUGUAACUAGUCAAAUAAUAAGAUAAAAAAAGAAUAUUAUAAAAAUCUAGUUCUUAGAUGUUUAGAGUAAAGAUGUUAUUUUCUACUGUAUCCAUUUCAAAUAGUAAACUAUUGUUUUAAUAUUUUUACUCUCCCUGGAAAUUGGGCCAUGUUGGAAAACAAGCUGCAUAUUUGAUCACUUUUUCAGGGGCAUCGUUGCCGGCGGGAUCAGGUGAAGCGAGUACGCGCGCUCGUCUCCUCCUCAGCCAACUGCAAACAACGAGGGUGGGGCGGGGAAAUCUCGAGGCGAUAAAGGUUGACUUUUUUGCACUUCUGUACAUAGUCAAAAAAGAGAGAAUCAUGUAUAUUGAGAUCUUAUUUUGAAUAAAAAAAAAAUUAUGUCUAUGACGACAAGGAAUUUUGCUAGGAUAACAAAAAAAAAAUCUUGUGAAAGGCUGAACAAAAUUGCUUGCAUCAAAAAGGGCACUGAGUUCUCACGCUCCUACCCGUUUCAGAAAAAGGCCAAGUGUUGCUCUUCUUUUUUGUCAGCAGCUUGUAGUUUGCCAGGUAACCUUCCGGAGGAGGCGUCCACUACCCUCCAGCGUGAGGGCCUGACUGGGUUUGUCUGGUCCCCGAACCUGCCUGUGUGGACAGGUUUGUGUGUCAUGGCCGCGCCCUCCCAGGCCCAACCAAUCACAACAUGUCCUGUCUCUUUACUUUACUGAGAGGAAUGCAUGUUAAAGGAAAAUACAUAUACCGUUUAAAAAAAAGAAAACUCAUGACACAGUAAUAUUGAAUAAGAAAACAUGUUACACAGAAAGAUGUAUUUACAGUAUACAAUAUUCUAUCAAUGUAAUGGAAUAAAAUAUAUAUAAAAAAAUACAAAAAUAGAAUAGUGGUUUAUUUAGAGAAAAAAAAAAACGAUUCCUGAGAAUAUACUCGCUAAAGUUUCACCACUUGGAGAGUUAAAAUACAUGCAACACAAACACCAUAGUUAUAAGUAUGUUCUUUCUGUUCAUGUAAGCUGUGCUUCUAGUAGAUGAAACUGACCAAACAGGAAUGUAGUUCAACAUCAGGUAGAAUUUAACAAAGAGAAUAUUCUCAAACGGAAAUACUUCUGAGUGGUUUGGUCAUAAAGUCGUCAGUUAGAAAUUUUGUCCUGAUCAUCUCUCGUCAUCUCUCAUCUUCUACAAGCACGCAUGCUUACGUUUACGAUAUAGUGUAAAACUGAACCUUUUUAUUUUUCUUUGUUUGUUGUUUGUUUUCUCUGCUUGUAGUGCCAAUAUGAUGUAUUCUGUCCUCUGCCACGGUUUGUUUCUGCUUGUUUUACUGUUCCAGGCCCCCUGAAAGGAUGUGUCACGUCUGCAAUGCCUCUCACCUGCUGUAGAAAGAAAGAAACCACUGAUUGUCACAGUCUAAAGCCAUAAAAAUACCAUCUCAUCAGAAUGAAACGUGUGUGAAGAGAGCUGAUGUGUAACACAGGUGGAGAGCGGUACCUUCUGAACCUGGUGUGAAUGAGUUUGCUGAGGUUUUAUUAACUACAUGUAAUAGCUGAAGUCAUGAAUGUAAUUAACAGAACCUGUCGUGUGCCAACUUUGAUAGAUGAGAGAAGAAGAGGGUUCUUGGCACAUUGUUUCACGAGGCCUGUAUUGCUAUAUUGAUUCUUGCUGUUAUGAAUAAAAAAAUGA